This 213-nucleotide long non-coding RNA is filed under the name Elaeis guineensis (African oil palm). RNAcentral describes it as "long non-coding RNA (EGUI_LNC051645)". Lineage: Eukaryota; Viridiplantae; Streptophyta; Magnoliopsida; Arecales; Arecaceae. The record is from RNAcentral.
GGGUUUUUGACUUAAAUUUUUGGUGGUUCCCAACAAAAUCCAGCCAGCAACGGCCAACUGGAGAAGGGAGAAGAUGGAGAAGAGAAAUGGAGGGAGAUUGGGGUUUUGUACCUCAUCUCUAGCAAGAUUGGGUGCAUGGUAGCAAUGCUGAAUUUUGUAUAGGAUAACGGACAACUAUCAAAAUCUAGAGGUCAAACCAAAAUCAAGAGAGAU